Molecule: transfer RNA, 76 nt
Filed under: Thermofilum sp.
Lineage: Archaea; Thermoproteati; Thermoproteota; Thermoprotei; Thermofilales; Thermofilaceae
Also listed under: 1 other name
Description: tRNA-Gln
Rfam family: tRNA
About the family: Transfer RNA (tRNA) molecules are approximately 80 nucleotides in length. Their secondary structure includes four short double-helical elements and three loops (D, anti-codon, and T loops). Further hydrogen bonds mediate the characteristic L-shaped molecular structure. tRNAs have two regions of fundamental functional importance: the anti-codon, which is responsible for specific mRNA codon recognition, and the 3' end, to which the tRNAs corresponding amino acid is attached (by aminoacyl-tRNA synthetases). tRNAs cope with the degeneracy of the genetic code in two manners: having more than one tRNA (with a specific anti-codon) for a particular amino acid; and 'wobble' base-pairing, i.e. permitting non-standard base-pairing at the 3rd anti-codon position.
Source: RNAcentral
AGCCGGGUGGUGUAGCGGCCAAGCAUGGCGGGCUUUGGACCCGCCGACCGGGGUUCGAAUCCCCGCCCGGCUACCA